This 271-nucleotide ribosomal RNA is filed under the name uncultured bacterium. RNAcentral describes it as "partial 16S ribosomal RNA". It matches the Rfam family "Bacterial small subunit ribosomal RNA", at positions 524 to 787 of the family's 1533-position model. The record is from RNAcentral.
GACGAACCGAGCGAACGUUGUUCGGAAUCACUGGGCUUAAAGGGCGCGUAGGCGGGCUGUCAAGUCUGGGGUGAAAUCCCGCGGCUCAACCGUGGAACUGCCUCAGAUACUGACGGUCUCGAGGGGGGAUAGGGGGCGAGCGGAACUGUGAGUGGAGCGGUGAAAUGCGUUGAUAUUCACAGGAACUCCGGUGGCGGAAGGCGGCUCGCUGGAUCUCUUCUGACGCUGAGGCGCGAAAGCUAGGGGAGCAAACAGGGGGAUUAAGAUACCC